This 28-nucleotide non-coding RNA is filed under the name Rattus norvegicus (Norway rat). Lineage: Eukaryota; Metazoa; Chordata; Mammalia; Rodentia; Muridae. The record is from RNAcentral.
UAGCUAUACAGAUGUAUUCACGGAGGAU